This 468-nucleotide ribosomal RNA is filed under the name uncultured bacterium. RNAcentral describes it as "partial 16S ribosomal RNA". It matches the Rfam family "Bacterial small subunit ribosomal RNA", at positions 28 to 507 of the family's 1533-position model. The record is from RNAcentral.
GACGAACGCUGGCGGCGUGCUUAACACAUGCAAGUCGAACGGAAAGGCCCUGCUUUUGUGGGGUGCUCGAGUGGCGAACGGGUGAGUAACACGUGAGUAACCUGCCCUUGACUUUGGGAUAACUUCAGGAAACUGGGGCUAAUACCGGAUAGGAGCUCCUGCUGCAUGGUGGGGGUUGGAAAGUUUCGGCGGUUGGGGAUGGACUCGCGGCUUAUCAGCUUGUUGGUGGGGUAGUGGCUUACCAAGGCUUUGACGGGUAGCCGGCCUGAGAGGGUGACCGGCCACAUUGGGACUGAUAUACGGCCCAGACUCCUACGGGAGGCAGCAGUGGGGAAUAUUGCACAAUGGGCGGAAGCCUGAUGCAGCAACGCCGCGUGCGGGAUGACGGCCUUCGGGUUGUAACCCGCUUUCGCCUGUGACGAAGCGUGAGUGACGGUAAUGGGUAAAGAAGCACCGGCUAACUACGUG